GCAAACUUGGUCAUUUAGAGGAAGUAAAAGUCGUAACAAGGUCUCCGUUGGUGAACCAGCGGAGGGAUCAUUACAGAGUUGCAAAACUCCCUAAACCAUUGUGAACGUUACCUAAACCGUUGCUUCGGCGGGCGGCGCGCCCUCGCGCGCGCCCCUGGGCCCCACCGCGGGCGCCCGCCGGAGGUCACCAAACUCUUGAUAUUAAUUGGCCUCUCUGAGUCUUCUGUACUGAAUAAGUCAAAACUUUCAACAACGGAUCUCUUGGUUCUGGCAUCGAUGAAGAACGCAGC
RNAcentral lists this unclassified non-coding RNA (290 nucleotides) under uncultured fungus. Its description in RNAcentral is "partial contains small subunit ribosomal RNA, internal transcribed spacer 1, and 5.8S ribosomal RNA". The stretch from base 1 to 73 matches the Rfam family "Eukaryotic small subunit ribosomal RNA", at positions 1759 to 1831 of the family's 1831-position model. The record is from RNAcentral. Lineage: Eukaryota; Fungi.